UUUAGAUGUAGCACAGAGGCUAAGUGCUCAGCUGGGCUGACACUGCUGAGAAACCACGGAAGGAACUGCUGGAAUGCACAGAAGUAAAGGCAGAAGAAAGGAAGCACCGACUCACAGCCCUUACUGUUGAAAUACACUUGCCUUCUGCUUUAAUCAGAAUGGACACAGCCAGCUCCAAGCUCUCCAGUUUCAGUUCCCCUCUCAGUUACAGCCCCCAAAAGACCAGACUGCCUUGGGGAGGGGGGGAUGCAAAGUGCCUUUCCUACUCCCUUCUCCUCCAUCAGAAGAGCUCACACAAUGAUGGAACGCUUCCACUUCACAAUUCAUGGCUGUGGAAAUGAGGCUAAUGCAAACAAGCAGAACCACCCGAACACAGCAUGGAACAGCAGGUGGACAGCUCGGAGAAAAUAGAGUUGCAGCACUUUAAAUUAGCCGUUUAUUAAAGAGAGAAACAGCCAUGAAUGGCAAAUGGGGAUAUUAA
Long non-coding RNA from Centrocercus urophasianus (Greater sage-grouse), 481 nucleotides. RefSeq lists it as uncharacterized. NCBI's taxonomy places the organism in Eukaryota, Metazoa, Chordata, Aves, Galliformes, Phasianidae. The record is from RefSeq and is a predicted model, not a curated record. The transcript is spliced from 2 exons.